GCCACACCCGUUGCUGACAGGUGUAUAAAAUCGAACACAGCCAUGCAAUCUCCAUAGCUGAACAUUGGCAGUAGAAUGGCAUUACUUUAGAACUCAGUGACUUUCAACAUGGCACCAUCAUAGGAUGCCACCUGGUACUCCCUGUAUAUAGCUCCAUUCUUGUGUAUUUUAUUCCUUGUGUUACUAUUUUAUUUGUAAUCUCUGCAUCGUUGGGGAAGGGCCCGUAAACAAGCAUUUCACAGUAAAGUCUACACCAGUUGUGUUCAGCUCAUGUGACAAAUAAAAAUAAUACCCAUAAAGCCUAGCGGUCAAACAAAAAUGGUUCCAAUCGGGGUUUUUUAACAUUCAUUUUAGAACCACUUCAAGAAAGGUCUGUUUCAUGUACCCUUUCCCUGGUGUGACGUUUUGAUAACCGUGUAAAUCUCUCUCGGACAAGUCUUGUCUCAUCACUGCAACUCCCAUACGGACUCGGGAGAGGCCGUGCGUCAUCCGAAACCCAACCAAGCCAAGCCGCACUGCUUCUUGACACGAUGCCCACUUAACCUGGAAGCCAGCCGCACCAAUGUGUUGGAGGAAACACUGUACACCUGGCGACGUGUCAGCGUGCACUGCGCCCGGCCCGCUACAGGAGUCGCUACUGUGCGAUAGGACAAGGACAUCCCUGCCGGCCAAACCCUCCCCUAACCUGGACGACACUGGGCCAAUUGUGCACCGCCCCAUGGGUCUCUCAGUCGUGGCCGGCUGCGACAGAGCCUGGACUCGAAACCAUAAUCUCUAGUGGCACAGCUAGCACUGCGAUGCAGUGCCUUGACCACUGUGCCACUCGGGAGGCCCGUCGAGAGAGAUAUACAUGGUUAUCAAAACGUCACAGUAAGCCUACACGAAACAGACCUUAUUUUAAGUGUUUGUAAAAUCCCUUAUUGGAAAAAUGAAUGGUGGAAAAACAAUUGGAACCAUUUCUGUUUGACUGCUAGUGUAACAGUGCAGGUUCUGUCCCUCUCUUCGCCCCAACCCGGGCUCGAACCAGGGACCCUUGCACACAUCAACAACUGACACCCACGAAGCAUCGUUACCCAUCACGCCACAAAAUCCGCGGCCCUUGCAACGCAAGGGGAAACCCUACUUCAAGUCUCAGAGCGAGUGACGUCACUGAUUGAAAUGCUAUUAGCGCGCACCACCGCCAUUUUACAUUGGUUACACUAGGUUUCAUGGGUAUUAUGACACCUCCACUGUGGGUCUCUAUUUGCCUCAUGCAGCGCGACACAUCUCCUUUGCAUACAGUUGAUCAGGCUGUUGAUUGUGGCCUGUGGAAUGUUUUCCCACUCCUCUUAAAUGGCUGUGCGAAGUUGCUGGUUAUUGGCGGGAACUGGAACACGCUGUCGUACACGUCGAUCCAGAGCAUACCAAACAUGCUCAGUGGGUGACAUGUCUGGUGAGUAUGCAGGCCAUAGAAGAAUUAGGACAUUUUCAGCUUCCAGGAAUUGUGCACAGAUCGUUGCGACAUGGGGCCUUGCAUUAUCAUGCUGAACCAUGAGGUGAUGGCGGGAGAUGAAUAACACGACAAUGGGCAUCAGAAUCUCGUCACUGUAUCUCUGUGCAUUAAAAUUUCCUUCAAUAAAAUGCAAUUGUGUUUGUUGUCUGUAGCUUAUGCCUGCCGGCCUGCCUGCCCAUACCAUAACCCCACCACGGGGCACAAUUGCACGCUCCCUCAAAACAUGAGACAUUGUGGCAUUGUGUUGUUUGACACAUUUUAGUGGCCUUUUAUUUCCCCAGCACAAGGUGCAUUUGUUUAAUCAGCUUGUUAAUAUGCCACACCUGUCUGGUGGAUGGAUUAUCUUGGAGAAAUGCGCACUAACAGGGAUGUAAACAAAUUUGUGCAUAACAUUUAAGAUAAAUAAGCUUUUUGUGAGUAUGGAACAUUUCUGGGAACUUUUAUUUCAGCUCAUGAAACAAGGGACCAACACUUUACAUGUUGAGUUUAUAUUUUUGUUCAGUGUAUAUAAUACCACAUUUUUUUUUGUGAGAAAACCAUCAGAGUUGAAAAUGCAAAUGUAUUUUGCAUUUGGUACAUCACGCACAGCCUUUUAUCUGCAACAAAUCAUUUGAUGGAAAAAUAUCUCUGCAGCAUAUUCUUUUUAUGUGGAUUUUAGAAUAUUUGCAUGAAAAUCUAUUGCUAAUUUGAUCGAAACCUAGCUACAGCUGGUUACAUUUAUUGGAGGUAGGCCUAUAUGCUAUGGGGCGUUCAGGGUUGGAUGUCCGUUCAAAAGAUGUUUCCCAUUCGGAAGUCUUUUUUUUCCCGAGUUCCCAGUUGUUUUGAACUCGGAAAUCUCUGACUUCAGUGCGUUCAAGACAACUGGGAACACGGGAAAAAACGAGCUCCAACUCGGGAACUUAAGACUCUUUUUAGAGCUCCAAUUUUCCGACUUGAAGAUCACUGAAGUCAUGAUUUGACCUCUUAUUUUCCCAAAUUCCCAGUUGUCUUGAACGUACCAAUAGUCCACGGAAAUGUGGACCAGUUAGAAAGUUGGACAUUUCCGAGUUUCCUUGUUCCGAUUAUACAUGAACGCAGUAAUAGACCGCAUUUCUUGGAGGUACAGAGCUAUCCCACAAUUCAUUACGGAACAUGUAUUCUAUGGUGCCGAGGAGGACUAUAAAUUUGCAAGUGCCGGAACAGCGGUCUCUUUGCAGACAUGAGUGGAAAAGAGGUUGUGCCACUAUUCAGGUCUUCAGACAUGGGAGGGCUUCAAAUGGGAAUAACAUGAUCCCUUUCAAGCAUGCGGACUGAAAGAAUUGCAUCAACUCUUAAGGAAAGCAUGCUCCAUCAACUCCAUUGAAGGUGAUUCAACUCUAUUCAAUGUGUUUGAAGACUAAGCAUGGAACUGCUGGGACUGGCUUGAUGGUUAAAUGGAAAAGGUAUUGAAGGAAAGAACACAAUUUGGUGGACUGCUUGCAUUUCAGCAAAAAAAUAUCCAGGAAUACAUGCUGAUUGUUUGACAUUCAAUGGAGUUGAAGCAUAGAAGGUUGACCAAACAUGGUGCUGCUUGGACUGGAUUGCUGUUUCAUUGAGUCGAUGCAAGACGAUGCAGAUUGUAUGGAAUGCGACAACUCCAUUGAAGGAUGCCACAGGAUUGUUUCUUUCUGGACUUGGGUGGUGUACAGAAUGUUACAUCCUGCAGAUGAUUCACUAAACUCCAGGCCAGACUGUUUGUCUCAGCCACCAUCAGCUGUGUUCACAUGGCCCUUUGACACAUCCUGGAGUGUCAUUGCAUAAUCCUCUUGUCUUGCAAUGUCUGGUUUCUGAACAAAUGUACCACAUAAUGAAUUGUUGAAUGUUUUGCCUUGACUAUGGUCCCGACUGCAUAAACAUGGGGACCUUCUCAAUCAGUGAACAAUAAAAUUGAACUUUGUAAAUUUAUUUUGUCAUUAAUUAUAAUAGAUUUUAGCUAAUAGCAUUGAAAUAAUGUUAACUGGAAACCACUCUGACUGGUUAGUGUAGAACUGUAGUUUUUACAUUGAUGACAGUUUGUUAUAUAACCAAACCAGGGCCAUGUUGAGUAACUGACUUGCAGAUAAUUUUAAUGUGUGAUGCUGGUGUGAUUGCUUAUUCUGCAUGUUUUCUACAUGGAAUAUUUCUAGCUGAAUGGACUGUUCUGAAGUUCCUCAUCUACAUCGAGUGAAACGCUUCAUGUUCCUAGGUGUGCACAUCCCUGACAACCUGAAAUGGUCCAUCCACACAGACGGUGUGGUGAAGGUGCAACAGUCUCCAAACUCGCGAGGCAGAAAUUUAGGCUUUGCCCCUAAAACCCUUAGGGACUUCUACAGAUGCACUAUUGAGAGCAUCCUGUUGGGCUGUGUUGCCGCCUUGUAUGGCAUUUUCACCGUCCGCAACUGCAGGGCUCUCCAGAGGGUGUGGUCAGCCCAACACAUCACUGGCGGCUUGUUCACCCCGCAACCAUCUAGAAGGCGGAGACCGUACAAGUGUAUAAAAGCUGGAACCAAGAGACGGGGGGGAAAAAAAUGCAAUCCAGGCCAUCAGAAUGUUAUAGUCACCACUAGCCUGCCCUGGACUUAAUCAUGUUACUAGCUGGCUACCACCCAGUACUCUACCCUGCACCUUUAAAGACUGCUGCCCUAUAUAUGUUAUGUGCGUAGUCAUUGAACACUGGUCACUUGAAUUAUGUUUGCAUAGUUUACCCACUUCCUAUGUAUACUGAAC
This 4216-nucleotide long non-coding RNA is filed under the name Salmo salar (Atlantic salmon). RNAcentral describes it as "lncRNA (ENSSSAG00000111765.1)". Lineage: Eukaryota; Metazoa; Chordata; Actinopteri; Salmoniformes; Salmonidae. The record is from RNAcentral.